RNAcentral lists this signal recognition particle RNA (315 nucleotides) under Chinchilla lanigera (long-tailed chinchilla). RNAcentral describes it as "Metazoan signal recognition particle RNA (ENSCLAG00000022022.1)". The stretch from base 1 to 283 matches the Rfam family "Metazoan signal recognition particle RNA". From Rfam's summary of the family: The signal recognition particle (SRP) is a universally conserved ribonucleoprotein. It is involved in the co-translational targeting of proteins to membranes. The record is from RNAcentral. Lineage: Eukaryota; Metazoa; Chordata; Mammalia; Rodentia; Chinchillidae.
GCCAGGCGCGAUGGUAUGUGCCUGUAGUCCCAGCUACUUGGGAGGCAGAAGUGGGAGGAUCGCUUGAGUCCAAGAGUUCUGGGCUGCAAUGCGCUAUGCCAAUUGGGUGUCCCUACUAAGUUCGGGCUCAAUAUGGUGACCUCCCAGGAGCGGGGGACCAACAGGUUGCCUAAGGAGGGGUGAACCGGCCCAGGUCAGAAACGGAGCAGGUCAGAAAUUGGAUGGAUGGUUUAUUAAAUACAUUAGAUUUACAAAAUCAAGUACACAGAAAGUUCUAUUUAAUUGUCGCAGUCUUUCACAGCAUAAUGAUAUUUU